This is a non-coding RNA of Paramuricea clavata, 865 nucleotides long. NCBI's taxonomy places the organism in Eukaryota, Metazoa, Cnidaria, Anthozoa, Malacalcyonacea, Plexauridae. The record is from the annotation of a GenBank genome assembly.
GAUUAGAUUCAAAUCCGACGGUAAGUUCAAGUAUAUAAAUACAUUUGUUUUCAAGUGUUAUCAAAAGAUCAGGGCGCAAUUCAUCUCCGGUGAUAGCAGAUGGACUGAUAUAGUAAGGAAGGUCAGCAUAAAGGUUACAAUGGUUCACAGAUUUAAGUAUGGAUGCUAUGAAGUUAAGCACCGAAUCAUGACGCCACGUGAAACGUCCUUCAUUUAGGUAGGUCUUGCAUCCAGCGACGACGUGAAUUAUUAUAAUAAUAAUAAUAAUAAUAAUAAUAAUAAUGGAAACUUUAUUACUUUCUAUAAUAUUUAUUUACACACUACAAUGAUAAACCUCUCUUUACAGGUAGUUUACCAGUGUCUACUUGAAUUAACACUCUACAUAAUAACAAUAUUAGUAUGACAUUAGUUGUGGGUUAUCCCAUUCUUUGUUACGCUUACAGAAUAAUAUAUAAUACGAGGACCUGAUACAUAUGUUAAUAAUUUUCCGAACAUAGUACUUUCUACAUUGUUCAUCAAACUUUAGAUCCUUCAGCAUUUCGGUGAAAUCUAACGACCGGUGGCUGAAAACUCCUAAUGAGCUAAUCGAUAAAUUUACAAAUUUUACUUUUUCAUAAUUUUUGAGCUGUUCGUUAAUUAGAUCUUGAUAUUUUUGUAUUUUUCGAGUUGCAUUAGUGAGGAGAUUAGAUUCAAAUCCGACGGUAAGUUCAAGUAUAUAAAUACCAGCAUGAGCUCCACCUUUGAAUUUACUAUAUGAGUAAAUUCUUAAACACGUCCGAAUUUAUCAUUAUGAUAAAUUCGCGGCAAAUUUUGAAUUUAUCAUAAUAAUAAAUUCGCGACACGUAACACUAACCCUAGCCCCAAC